This 429-nucleotide ribosomal RNA is filed under the name uncultured bacterium. RNAcentral describes it as "bacterial SSU rRNA". It matches the Rfam family "Bacterial small subunit ribosomal RNA", at positions 355 to 776 of the family's 1533-position model. The record is from RNAcentral.
UGGGGAAUAUUGGACAAUGGGGGCAACCCUGAUCCAGCAAUACCGCGUGUGUGAAGAAGGCCUUCGGGUUGUAAAGCACUUUAGUUGGGGAAGAAGGUAACUGGUUUAAGAGAUAGGUUACUUGACGGUACCCAAAGAAUAAGCACCGGCUAACUCUGUGCCAGCAGCCGCGGUAAUACAGAGGGUGCAAGCGUUAAUCGGAAUUACUGGGCGUAAAGGGCGCGUAGGCGGAUAUUUAAGUUGGAUGUGAAAUCCCUGGGCUUAACCUAGGAACUGCAACCAAUACUGGAUAUCUAGAGUGCGGUAGAGGGUAGUGGAAUUUCCGGUGUAGCGGUGAAAUGCGUAGAUAUCGGAAGGAACACCAGUGGCGAAGGCGGCUACCUGGACUGACACUGACGCUGAGGCGCGAAAGCGUGGGGAGCAAACAGG